This 67-nucleotide transfer RNA is filed under the name Agenioideus sp. SJW-2017. RNAcentral's name for it is "tRNA-Gln". The record is from RNAcentral. Lineage: Eukaryota; Metazoa; Arthropoda; Insecta; Hymenoptera; Pompilidae.
UAUAUUUUAGUGUAAAAGCACAUUAAUUUUUGAUAUUUUUAGAAAUAGAUUAAUCUAUUAAAUAUAA